GUGGGGAAUCUUAGACAAUGGGGGAAACCCUGAUCUAGCCAUGCCGCGUGAUCGAUGAAGGCCUUAGGGUUGUAAAGAUCUUUCAGGUGGGAAGAUAAUGACUGUACCACCAGAAGAAGCCCCGGCUAACUCCGUGCCAGCAGCCGCGGUAAUACGGAGGGGGCUAGCGUUGUUCGGAAUUACUGGGCGUAAAGCGCACGUAGGCGGAUUGGAAAGUUGGGGGUGAAAUCCCGGGGCUCAACCCCGGAACUGCCUUCAAAACUCCCAGUCUUGAGUUCGAGAGAGGUGAGUGGAAUUCCGAGUGUAGAGGUGAAAUUCGUAGAUAUUCGGAGGAACACCAGUGGCGAAGGCGGCUCACUGGCUCGAUACUGACGCUGAGGUGCGAAAGCAUGGGGAGCAAACAGGAUUAGAAACCCUUGUAGUCC
RNAcentral lists this ribosomal RNA (425 nucleotides) under uncultured bacterium. Its description in RNAcentral is "partial 16S ribosomal RNA". It matches the Rfam family "Bacterial small subunit ribosomal RNA", at positions 354 to 796 of the family's 1533-position model. The record is from RNAcentral.